RNAcentral lists this long non-coding RNA (3324 nucleotides) under Olea europaea (common olive). RNAcentral describes it as "long non-coding RNA (OEUR_LNC009542)". The record is from RNAcentral. Lineage: Eukaryota; Viridiplantae; Streptophyta; Magnoliopsida; Lamiales; Oleaceae.
GAUCAUAUUUUUUAUUUUAAUAGACAAAUAAUAGAAAACAAACGAGGCUAACAUAUGCUUGUGUUUAUGGGAAUUAUUUCAUUACAAUCCAAAUGUUGACCUCCAAAAAUGGCUCCAACAGGUUCCCUAGCCUUGUCCCCUCGAUACCUGCGCAUGUAGCACACCGUCAAGAGGCAAAGACGGCCGGACAAGAAAAAUGUCCGACGACCGUUUGCACUCCGACGGUCAAGUCAACGGCUGGACGGAAAUAAAUAUAUAGAGUGCAAUAAUAUGGAGAUGGGGGUUUGGCUAGGAAUGUAGAACAUACCUUGAUUGUGUGAGUUGAACCCAUAUAUAUAGAGAAAUGGAUGUGAAGCGGGCCAAACGGAUUAGUGGGCCUAAGUCUGAGCCUAAUACGAGGUGAGCAAAAUAAUAGGCGCCUCGACAGGCGAUUCGGCUAGACUUCUAGGGCCUCGGCUGCGCCUCGGUUGGCCUUCUCAGAGCCUCGGCUUUGGGGCCCAACACUAAUGGGCCUAGCUCGGGUCCAAUAAGAUGACCCAAUAUGGAGUGAUAAUUCAUAGGCGUAACAGUAGUCCCCCAAGUCCGAGUCGUGUUAUUUAUAUGCGGGUUGGACUUGAAAUAUAACUCUCAAGUAGGCGAGGUCUUACAGAUUGCCUCAGAAAGAUGUGUCAGAAUAAGCGAGGACUUACGAAUUGCCUCGAAAGAUAUACUGCGUAUACUUUUUCAAAAUUUCGACAUCUCCUCUGUAAUAUGGACUAAACCAAUCCUGUAAUACAAUACAAUAUAUCCACAGCACAUAUACCAAAUAAAUUUGGGGUCCAUUUGCCCCUUUAAAUGCUCAUAAGGUGUAACAUAUCGCAUUUCUCCAAGAUAUGUGCAGAAGGUCUGUCAUGCAUUAUAAUAAAUCAUAUGCUCGCACAGCUCAAUGUAUCAGUAGUGCUAUAGUGAAGCAAGUAAUAUGAUGUCGACAAUAAAAUGAAAAUGAUGAUAACAUGGCAUGCGUAUUGGCUAUAAUGAAAUUAAUAAAUUACGUGCUAGUAAUAAUAUGGUAUUCGUGCUUCGAAGCAACAAUAUAGUGCAUAUGAUAUGGCAAUGAUAUGUAGUGAUACUGAGAUACUAGUAUUGCAAUAGUCCCCCAAGUUUGAGUCUAAUAUUCAUUUAUGCAAUGCGUGGACUUCAGUAAAGCCAUUGGGUUGGGUAAAAAUUGAAAGUAGAGGUGGUUGAGAAACCGAACCUGCGAGGCUUGUGAAGGCUAAAUUGUGAUGAAGCCGAGUUGGUUGUGAAAUCGAACCUGCGAGGCUUGUGAAGGCUGAAUUGUGAUGAAGCCGAGGUGGUUGAGAAACCGAACCUGCGAGGCUUGUGAAGGCUGAAUUGUAAGGCUCAAGCUGCUGAGGCACCUACUAUCGAGGCACCUCCACCAUUGACUGGGCUUAGUUUAGUUCACAUUUCACUGUAAUCUAUCUUCAUCACAUGCUGUUUUUCUCCGAAGUGUGCUGGCCUCGUUAAGCAAUUGAACUUAAUGUUGAUUGAAGAACUAAACAACUUUAACUUGGUACCUUAACUCCAAUCACUUAAAACAACUGAAUUGUAUGCAACUUUCUUGAGUUAUGACCAACAUUACUUAAGUAAAUGAACAACAGUGUGAGCCUCAAACUUAAGCAAAUGAACUUUACUUAAGCAUAAUAACUGUAACCUGAAGGGAUUCAAUGAAUGCUGUUGCAGUCGAACUUAAGCAUAAUAAUUGUAUGAGCCUCGGAAUUCACGUGAAGUGGCUUCUCCCAUUGGCGUUCAGCCUCGCCAGAAGGAGGCAUGUGCUAGCACCUCGGAGUUCAAGCGAGGUGGCCCAGAGAUGGGACGCGAGCCUCUCCUCCGAGGUGACGACGCAUCCCAGACAUGGUGAAUGGUGCAGCCAUGUUGGGGCUUCUCCCCUUGGCGCUCAGCCUGGCCAGAGGGAGGCAUGUGCUAGCGCCUCGGAGUUCAAGCGAGGUGGCCCAGAGACUGGACGCGAGCCUCUCCUCCGAGGUGACGACGCAUCCCAAACAUGGUGGAUGGUGCAGCCAUGUUGAGGUAAUAUUAGCUCUCCGAAGAUAAGUAGAUGUAACAUGGCUGAGGCAGAGGCAAAAUUCUGAACUGAACAGCUGUACUGAUAACGAAGCAGAGGCUGACUCUGAACUGAACAUAAUAGAUGUACUGAUACGAUGCAGAGGCAGACUGAACUGAACGUAGAUAGUUGUUAUGUAGAGGCGUGAUGACCUUUCUGAACAUAAGCGGGGCUAUAAUGCAGUAAUUCGUACAACAAGGCUUCUCAUGAAGUGGUGAACAAAUAUCUAGCUGGUGACCCGUGAUAGUGAAGGGUGAGGGAUAAUCAUCUCACGAAGUUAGGAAUAAGCAUCUGGCGAAGCGGGGAAUGGACAUCCCGCGAAUCACUCUCAAACUAUCGGAGUCUUAUAAGCAGCCUCGGACAAACGAGGUCUUAUAACUAAGCUCAACGAUAGUGAAAUGUGAGGAAUAAACAUCUCGCGAAGCCAGGGAUGAACAUCUGGUGAACUGUCGAACUAUCGGAGUCUUAUAAGCUGGCCUCGGAUAGACGAGGGCUUAAAGCUAAGCUCGGCGAUAGUGAAACGCGAGGAAAAGACAUCUCGCGAAGCCAGGGAUGAACAUCUGGCGAACUAUUAGAGUCUUAUAAGCUGGCCUCGAAUAGACGAGGACUUAGAGCUAAGCUCGGCGAUAGUGAGGCGGGGAAUAAGCAUCCCGCGAAGCCAGGGAUAAACAUCUGGCGAGGCGAGGAAUAAGCAACCCGCAAAUGAGGCCAAGAAAGGCUCCUUUUGCAAGGGCAAACACGUCUGACGAUUUGCCUCUUCCUUUUUUCAAGGAACGAGGACUCCAAAAUAUACCACCUAUUCCUUUAUUCAAGGAGCGAGGUACUCUAAGAUAUGUUGCCUUUGAUAAUAAGAUAUUCACAAGCUAAGGCUCGUCUUAAAUAAAUAAGAAAACCACAAGUUCGGCUCGACUUGUCUCCAAUGAUAAGGAAUUCAUGAGCUAGGGCUCGUCUUGAGCAAUUGCGAUGAUGUUUCAAAGAUGCGAGGUCUUAGAACUUGCCUCGAGUAAUAGAGAUGAUAGUCAAAUGUGCCUUAAAUAAGAGAAAUCCCAUGUCGAUAUAUUUUUGAACACUUGGUGUGCUUAUGACCUUUGUAUAAGUUGUUGUUGAUGUUUAUUUGUAGCCUCCAAGUUAUUUGAAACAAUUGUGGCAACUCAGGUAGAAGGAAAAGAAUCCAGAAGAUGUGCCGAACUUGAAGAAAAUAACUCACCAAAUAUUGUCCCAUG